UGGGGAAUCUUCCGCAAUGGGCGCAAGCCUGACGGAGCAACGCCGCGUGAGUGAAGAAGGUCUUCGGAUCGUAAAGCUCUGUUGAUGGGGACGAACGUGCCUAAUGCGAAUAGUAUUAGGUAAUGACGGUACCCAUCGAGGAAGCCACGGCUAACUACGUGCCAGCAGCCGCGGUAAUACGUAGGUGGCGAGCGUUGUCCGGAAUCAUUGGGCGUAAAGGGAGCGCAGGCGGGCAUGUAAGUCUUUCUUAAAAGUGCGGGGCUCAACCCCGUGAUGUGAAAGAAACUUUGUGUCUUGAGUACAGGAGAGGAAAGCGGAAUUCCCAGGGUAGCGGUGAAAUGCGUAGAUAUUGGGAGGAACACCAGUGGCGAAGGCGGCUUUCUGGACUGCAACUGACGCUGAGGCUCGAAAGCCAGGGGAGCGAACGGG
Molecule: ribosomal RNA, 429 nt
Filed under: bacterium
Lineage: Bacteria
Description: partial 16S ribosomal RNA
Rfam family: Bacterial small subunit ribosomal RNA
Source: RNAcentral